Molecule: ribosomal RNA, 495 nt
Filed under: uncultured bacterium
Lineage: Bacteria
Description: partial 16S ribosomal RNA
Rfam family: Bacterial small subunit ribosomal RNA
Source: RNAcentral
GACGAACGCUGGCGGCGUGCCUAAUACAUGCCAGUAGAACGCUGAAGGCGGAGCUUGCUUCUCCGGAUGAGUUGCGAACGGGUGAGUAACGCGUAGGUAACCUGCCUGGUAGCGGGGGAUAACUAUUGGAAACGAUAGCUAAUACCGCAUAACAGUAGAUGUUGCGUGACAUUUGCUUAAAAGGUCCAAUUGCAUCACUACCAGAUGGACCUGCGUUGUAUUAGCUAGUUGGUGAGGUAACGGCUCACCAAGGCGACGAUACAUAGCCGACCUGAGAGGGUGCUCGGCCACGCUGGUACUGAGAAACGGCCCAGACUCCUACGGGAGGCAGCAGUAGGGAAUCUUCGGCGAUGGACGGAAGUCUGACCGAGCAACGCCGCGUGAGUGAAGAAGGUUUUCGGAGCGUGAAGCUCUGUUGUAAGAGAAGAACGAGUGUGAGAGUGGAAAGUUCACACUGUGACGGUAUCUUACCAGAAAGGGACGGCUAACUACGUG